UACGUAGGCAGCAAGCGUUGUUCGGAAUUACUGGGCGUAAAGAGUGUGUAGGCGGUGCUCUAAGUUCGGUGUGAAAUCUCCCGGCUUAACUGGGAGGGUGCGCCGAAAACUGGAGUGCUCGAGCGUGGGAGAGGAAAGCGGAAUUCCUGGUGUAGCGGUGAAAUGCGUAGAUAUCAGGAGGAACACCUGCGGUGUAGACGGCUUUCUGGACCAUUGCUGACGCUGAGACACGAAAGCGUGGGUAGCAAACAGG
Molecule: ribosomal RNA, 253 nt
Filed under: uncultured bacterium
Lineage: Bacteria
Description: partial 16S ribosomal RNA
Rfam family: Bacterial small subunit ribosomal RNA
Source: RNAcentral